GACGAACGCUGGCGGCGUGCUUAACACAUGCAAGUCGAACGGAAAGGCCCUGCUUUUGUGGGGUGCUCGAGUGGCGAACGGGUGAGUAACACGUGAGUAACCUGCCCUUGACUUUGGGAUAACUUCAGGAAACUGGGGCUAAUACCGGAUAGGAGCUCCUGCUGCAUGGUGGGGGUUGGAAAGUUUCGGCGGUUGGGGAUGGACUCGCGGCUUAUCAGCUUGUUGGUGGGGUAGUGGCUUACCAAGGCUUUGACGGGUAGCCGGCCUGAGAGGGUGACCGGCCACAUUAGGACUGAGAUACGGCCCAGACUCCUACGGGAGGCAGCAGUGGGGAAUAUUGCACAAUGGGCGGAAGCCUGAUGCAGCAACGCCGCGUGCGGGAUGGCGGCCUUCGGGUUGUAAACCGCUUUCGCCUGUGACGAAGCGUGAGUGACGGUAAUGGGUAAAGAAGCACCGGCUAACUACGUG
RNAcentral lists this ribosomal RNA (468 nucleotides) under uncultured bacterium. Its description in RNAcentral is "partial 16S ribosomal RNA". It matches the Rfam family "Bacterial small subunit ribosomal RNA", at positions 28 to 507 of the family's 1533-position model. The record is from RNAcentral.